AGCCGCAAGGCAAAGGCAAAAGGAAGGAGAAGAAGUCACCCACUCCUAAGCCGAAAGGAGGAGUGAGGAAAAAGAAGGCAAAGGAGCCCAAAGGGACUUGCCACCACUGUGGAAAGGAGGGGCAUUGGAGGAGGAAUUGCAGGUUAUACCUUGCAAGUCUUAAGGAAAAGCCACAAGGUAUGGUUUAUGUUCUUAUCUUCAAUUCUAAAUGUUAGAUCUUCUAAAUAUUUAUAUUUGAUAUAAAGAGCUAAUCACUUGUAUAAUUGUAUAUAGGUGGAGAAGCCAAGUAGAAGAUGAACAAGCAAGGAAAAUGUGGUGAAGGGUUCGGCCACUAUGUUUUUUGCUUACUACUUAGGAAGUUUGUUAGGCAUUAAAGAUUGUCUUUAAACUUUCUUAUUUUGUUAAGAACUUAUUAUGUGGCUUCAUAUGAUGGAAGAUCACUAUUAGUGCCUAAAUGUAUAAAGGUAUUUAUAUUAGUCUCUAAAUGUAUAGAGCUAAUACUUUUUGUAUUAAACAUUAUGAAUGUUUGAAAUAUCAUAUUAAUGUAAUGUGAAGAAUGCCUUUUUUUUUAAUAUACUAUUUCCUUAAAGUAGUGUUAUGAAUUGAAAAUUGUCUUGUUGUAUCCUAGAUGAGAUACAAGAUUUAUAUCACUUAUUGUAAUGUGAUAACCAAACUUUAGACUUAUCAAUUAUGGAUAGAUCUCACAUGUAGGACAUAAAAGGAUACAAUGAAUCUUUAGAUUUGGUUCCAUUUGUCUACUUAUGAGUUCUAUAUGAAUUGACAAAAGUCUAGAGUAUCCUUUCUUGAAGAAAAGGAAGAUCACAUUAUAAUGAUAUGAGUAAUAAGAAAAACAUUUCUUAUAUGGUCAUCACUUGAAACACAAUGAUCAAGAUCACUCUUGAUUCAAUUAGUAGUUUUGAACAACUAAUUGGGCAUUCUUUAAAGGGUUUUAAAGUGUCAAUUGUGUUAGUAAUUAAACCAAGAAAGAAGUGUCUAAAUCUAUAAAAUGUUUAAAGACUUUAGUCACUUAAUAACAAGACAUUAACUUAGUGAAGAUUGAAACAAAUAAGCUUGAAAUGUUUUAAAGCUACUACACAAAUGUCUUCUUCCAAUAUACUCCACUUUUAUACAUUUUGAGUGUAUGAAAUGAUUUCUCAUUAAAGUCAUGAGAAAUAGUGGGAGGUGUGAAAAUGGAUAUAAACUUGAUUAUGAUUGGUUUAUAGUUGUCUAAAGGAUAAUAGUACUUGACUAUUAUUAAGAGUUUGUAAUUUUAAUUGUUAAAGAACUCAAGCUCUUCAAACGUUAAAAUUAUAUGUUGUGUGACAUUCUAAAGAAUAGUCUUUGAAUGUUGGUUUCGUCAACCUAGCAUAAAAUAAUUAUAUGUUGGGAAUUGUCCAUCAUUCUCUUUUAUGAGAACAAGCUAAAUAACUAAGCAUAUGGACAAGUUGAUGAAACAAAAGGGAAAUAAGUUCAAAAUGAGUCACAAGAUAUGAUUUAACAACAAGACAAUCCAAAUUCAACAUCUCAUGUAACAAUAUUGCUCUAUGUAGUUUUAAUAAAGAAUUAUAUCAACCACCUAGAAGGAAUGGUUGAGUUUCAAUAUCCUUAGUAGGAGCCAUGCUUCCACUAAAGACUUGGAUAAUUCUUAUAUGACUACAUUAAAGGUCUUAGUAUGACUAAAACUUGAAGUAUGGUGUAUGACACCAUAUAAUUUAAAUGAAUAUACUUAAUGAAACAAGUCACACAUUUCAAAUGGAAUUACUUAAGAAGGAAUUCUUUUGUGUGUGAUUCAUCUAAGUUAGUUGGAGCAAUAUGCAUUCAAAUCAAGAAAAAUAUAAUUGUUAUUUUGAAUGAAUGCUAAGUUACAACAAGGCCAGUGGGAGUGAUGUCAUAAUUUGAGCAACAAGAUGUGAAUAAAGUCUAUUCGAUAGACUUGAUAAAACAUAGAUGUUACUCGAGAAAUGAAAAAAAAAAAACAUGACAUGGUCAAUUUUGAAGUAUAGACUUGAAAUUGGACUUAUUGAUAUAGCAAGGCUAUCUCAAUAAUGUUAUAUAAGAAUUAAAUCUCAAAUGUUGUGGAUUUAAGAAAGCAUUUUUCAAUGUGAUAGAAAAACACUUUCAUAACCCUUAUAAUGAAUUUGUCACAAAAUCACAAAAGGGACACAUGUAUGGACUUGUGAAGUAGAUAACCAAAAGUGAAGAACCACAGGGGUUGUCACUAUAAGAUAUUACUAAAUCCCAUGAUCAGAACCAAAGCAACUGAAAGAGUAUUAUUGCCUUUAGGAAAGAAACAUCAGAGUGGGACUCUUGAAGCUUGCAUUCACUUAGGUUGUUAACCAAAGUGAAAAUAAGCCAUUUUAACAAAUGGAACUUCAUAAUGGAUGAAGUACUAAUCAUAUGAAUGAAUUGUUAGUAUUGUACAACAAUGGUCUCAAGGUUGGAGCAAAGUUUGUAUAAAGUAAACAAACGAAAUAUAUGACGAUAUAUUGUUUAGAAACUGCUUCAAAAGAUGUUUUGAAUGAAGGGGUUCUUAUAGAACCAAUGAUUGAAUCCAAACCAUAAGGUCGUUAGUAGGAUACUACGACGUAAUGGGGCGAUAGCUCAAGCCAUGGAAUCAAGGUCUCAUCAAAGUAUUCGAACACAAGAAAGAGACAUCAUCAAAUGUUUUGGAAACAUUUGAUAAGUAAAUCCCUUUUAGAUGAUAAAAGGGAUUAAUACAUAACCAAAUUAACCUACGAGCAUAAGCUCUCUCGACUAGCAUGUAUAAGAUACACUAGUGAUUGACUUUAGUGCAAGUGGGAGAUUGUUGGAAAUAU
This 2816-nucleotide long non-coding RNA is filed under the name Malus domestica (apple). RNAcentral's name for it is "long non-coding RNA (MDOM_LNC006603)". Lineage: Eukaryota; Viridiplantae; Streptophyta; Magnoliopsida; Rosales; Rosaceae. The record is from RNAcentral.